GACGAACGCUGGCGGCGUGCCUAACACAUGCAAGUCGAACGGAAAGGCCCUGCUUUUGUGGGGUGCUCGAGUGGCGAACGGGUGAGUAACACGUGAGUAACCUGCCCUUGACUUUGGGAUAACUUCAGGAAACUGGGGCUAAUACCGGAUAGGAGCUCCUGCUGCAUGGUGGGGGUUGGAAAGUUUCGGCGGUUGGGGAUGGACUCGCGGCUUAUCAGCUUGUUGGUGGGGUAGUGGCUUACCAAGGCUUUGACGGGUAGCCGGCCUGAGAGGGUGACCGGCCACAUUGGGACUGAGAUACGGCCCAGACUCCUACGGGAGGCAGCAGUGGAGAGUAUUACACAAUGGGCGGGAGCCAGAUGUAACAACGCCGCGUGCGGGAUGACGGCCUUCGGGUUGUAAACCGAUUUCGCCUGUGACGAAGCGUGAGUGACGGUAAUGGGUAAAGAAGCACCGGCUAACUACGUG
Molecule: ribosomal RNA, 468 nt
Filed under: uncultured bacterium
Lineage: Bacteria
Description: partial 16S ribosomal RNA
Rfam family: Bacterial small subunit ribosomal RNA
Source: RNAcentral